CUAGCUGGUCUGAGAGGAUGACCAGCCACACUGGAACUGAGACACGGUCCAGACUCCUACGGGAGGCAGCAGUGGGGAAUAUUGCACAAUGGGCGCAAGCCUGAUGCAGCCAUGCCGCGUGUAUGAAGAAGGCCUUCGGGUUGUAAAGUACUUUCAGCGGGGAGGAAGGGAGUAAAGUUAAUACCUUUGCUCAUUGACGUUACCCGCAGAAGAAGCACCGGCUAACUCCGUGCCAGCAGCCGCGGUAAUACGGAGGGUGCAAGCGUUAAUCGGAAUUACUGGGCGUAAAGCGCACGCAGGCGGUUUGUUAAGUCAGAUGUGAAAUCCCCGGGCUCAACCUGGGAACUGCAU
This 351-nucleotide ribosomal RNA is filed under the name Escherichia coli. RNAcentral's name for it is "bacterial SSU rRNA". It matches the Rfam family "Bacterial small subunit ribosomal RNA", at positions 283 to 626 of the family's 1533-position model. Lineage: Bacteria; Pseudomonadati; Pseudomonadota; Gammaproteobacteria; Enterobacterales; Enterobacteriaceae. The record is from RNAcentral.